CGAACCUGGGGCAUGCCUACACAUGCAAGUCGUCCGGAGAGUGGGGCGACUCACUCUCAGUGGCAAACGGGUGAGUAACACGUGAAUAACCUGCCUUUGAGAAGGGGAUAACUGUCCGAAAGGAUAGCUAAUACCCUGUAUUGCCUUUUGUCACUAAGGCAAAAGGUGAAAGCGAGGCUGUCAAAGGCUUCGGCUCAAAGAGGGGUUCGCGUCCUAUCAGGUAGUUGGUGGGGUAAUGGCCUACCAAGCCAAUGACGGGUAGCUGGUCUUAGAGGAUAAUCAGCCACAGUGGGAACUGAGACACGGCCCGCACAGCCUACGGGGGGCAGCAGUGGGGAAUCGUGGGCAAUGGGCGCAAGCCUGACCCCGCAAUGCCGCGUGAGGGAAGAAGCCCUUCGGGGUGUAAACCUCUGUCAGAUGGGAAGAUGGGACUAGGGGCUAAUACAUCCUAGUCUUGACGGUACCAUCAGAGGAAGGGACGGCUAACUACGUGCCAGCAGCCGCGGUAAU
This 510-nucleotide ribosomal RNA is filed under the name uncultured bacterium. Its description in RNAcentral is "bacterial SSU rRNA". It matches the Rfam family "Bacterial small subunit ribosomal RNA", at positions 36 to 524 of the family's 1533-position model. The record is from RNAcentral.